UUGGAAGGGAUAGCUCAGCUGGUAGAGUAUGAGACUCUUAAUCUCAGGGUUGUGGGUUCGAGCCCCAUGUUGGGGAAAA
RNAcentral lists this transfer RNA (79 nucleotides) under Podarcis lilfordi (Lilford's wall lizard). RNAcentral describes it as "tRNA.Lys". The stretch from base 11 to 68 matches the Rfam family "tRNA", at positions 8 to 63 of the family's 71-position model. From Rfam's summary of the family: Transfer RNA (tRNA) molecules are approximately 80 nucleotides in length. Their secondary structure includes four short double-helical elements and three loops (D, anti-codon, and T loops). Further hydrogen bonds mediate the characteristic L-shaped molecular structure. tRNAs have two regions of fundamental functional importance: the anti-codon, which is responsible for specific mRNA codon recognition, and the 3' end, to which the tRNAs corresponding amino acid is attached (by aminoacyl-tRNA synthetases). tRNAs cope with the degeneracy of the genetic code in two manners: having more than one tRNA (with a specific anti-codon) for a particular amino acid; and 'wobble' base-pairing, i.e. permitting non-standard base-pairing at the 3rd anti-codon position. Lineage: Eukaryota; Metazoa; Chordata; Lepidosauria; Squamata; Lacertidae. The record is from RNAcentral.